CAAAAUAUAGCUUAAAAAAGCAUCUGACUUACACUCAGAAGAUUUCACACUCUAUGAAUAUUUUGA
Molecule: transfer RNA, 66 nt
Filed under: Dipodomys ordii (Ord's kangaroo rat)
Lineage: Eukaryota; Metazoa; Chordata; Mammalia; Rodentia; Heteromyidae
Rfam family: tRNA
About the family: Transfer RNA (tRNA) molecules are approximately 80 nucleotides in length. Their secondary structure includes four short double-helical elements and three loops (D, anti-codon, and T loops).
Source: Rfam by way of RNAcentral